RNAcentral lists this ribosomal RNA (1540 nucleotides) under Staphylococcus aureus UCIM6147. RNAcentral's name for it is "16S ribosomal RNA". It matches the Rfam family "Bacterial small subunit ribosomal RNA". The record is from RNAcentral. Lineage: Bacteria; Bacillati; Bacillota; Bacilli; Caryophanales; Staphylococcaceae.
AGAGUUUGAUCCUGGCUCAGGAUGAACGCUGGCGGCGUGCCUAAUACAUGCAAGUCGAGCGAACGGACGAGAAGCUUGCUUCUCUGAUGUUAGCGGCGGACGGGUGAGUAACACGUGGAUAACCUACCUAUAAGACUGGGAUAACUUCGGGAAACCGGAGCUAAUACCGGAUAAUAUUUUGAACCGCAUGGUUCAAAAGUGAAAGACGGUCUUGCUGUCACUUAUAGAUGGAUCCGCGCUGCAUUAGCUAGUUGGUAAGGUAACGGCUUACCAAGGCAACGAUGCAUAGCCGACCUGAGAGGGUGAUCGGCCACACUGGAACUGAGGCACGGUCCAGACUCCUACGGGAGGCAGCAGUAGGGAAUCUUCCGCAAUGGGCGAAAGCCUGACGGAGCAACGCCGCGUGAGUGAUGAAGGUCUUCGGAUCGUAAAACUCUGUUAUUAGGGAAGAACAUAUGUGUAAGUAACUGUGCACAUCUUGACGGUACCUAAUCAGAAAGCCACGGCUAACUACGUGCCAGCAGCCGCGGUAAUACGUAGGUGGCAAGCGUUAUCCGGAAUUAUUGGGCGUAAAGCGCGCGUAGGCGGUUUUUUAAGUCUGAUGUGAAAGCCCACGGCUCAACCGUGGAGGGUCAUUGGAAACUGGAAAACUUGAGUGCAGAAGAGGAAAGUGGAAUUCCAUGUGUAGCGGUGAAAUGCGCAGAGAUAUGGAGGAACACCAGUGGCGAAGGCGACUUUCUGGUCUGUAACUGACGCUGAUGUGCGAAAGCGUGGGGAUCAAACAGGAUUAGAUACCCUGGUAGUCCACGCCGUAAACGAUGAGUGCUAAGUGUUAGGGGGUUUCCGCCCCUUAGUGCUGCAGCUAACGCAUUAAGCACUCCGCCUGGGGAGUACGACCGCAAGGUUGAAACUCAAAGGAAUUGACGGGGACCCGCACAAGCGGUGGAGCAUGUGGUUUAAUUCGAAGCAACGCGAAGAACCUUACCAAAUCUUGACAUCCUUUGACAACUCUAGAGAUAGAGCCUUCCCCUUCGGGGGACAAAGUGACAGGUGGUGCAUGGUUGUCGUCAGCUCGUGUCGUGAGAUGUUGGGUUAAGUCCCGCAACGAGCGCAACCCUUAAGCUUAGUUGCCAUCAUUAAGUUGGGCACUCUAAGUUGACUGCCGGUGACAAACCGGAGGAAGGUGGGGAUGACGUCAAAUCAUCAUGCCCCUUAUGAUUUGGGCUACACACGUGCUACAAUGGACAAUACAAAGGGCAGCGAAACCGCGAGGUCAAGCAAAUCCCAUAAAGUUGUUCUCAGUUCGGAUUGUAGUCUGCAACUCGACUACAUGAAGCUGGAAUCGCUAGUAAUCGUAGAUCAGCAUGCUACGGUGAAUACGUUCCCGGGUCUUGUACACACCGCCCGUCACACCACGAGAGUUUGUAACACCCGAAGCCGGUGGAGUAACCUUUUAGGAGCUAGCCGUCGAAGGUGGGACAAAUGAUUGGGGUGAAGUCGUAACAAGGUAGCCGUAUCGGAAGGUGCGGCUGGAUCACCU